GGUGGGUACUAGGUGUGGGUUUCCUUCCUUGGGAUCCGUGCCGUAGCUAACGCAUUAAGUACCCCGCCUGGGGAGUACGGCCGCAAGGCUAAAACUCAAAGAAAUUGACGGGGGCCCGCACAAGCGGCGGAGCAUGUGGAUUAAUUCGAUGCAACGCGAAGAACCUUACCUGGGUUUGACGUGCACAGGACGCCGGCAGAGAUGUCGGUUCCCUUGUGGCCUGUGUGCAGGUGGUGCAUGGCUGUCGUCAGCUCGUGUCGUGAGAUGUUGGGUUAAGUCCCGCAACGAGCGCAACCCUUGUCUCAUGUUGCCAGCGGGUAAUGCCGGGGACUCGUGAGAGACUGCCGGGGUCAACUCGGAGGAAGGUGGGGAUGACGUCAAGUCAUCAUGCCCCUUAUGUCCAGGGCUUCGCACAUGCUACAAUGGCCGGUACAAAGGGCUGCGAUGCCGCGAGGUUAAGCGAAUCCUUUUAAAGCCGGUCUCAGUUCGGAUCGGGGUCUGCAACUCGACCCCGUGAAGUCGGAGUCGCUAGUAAUCGCAGAUCAGCAACGCUGCGGUGAAUACGUUCCCGGGCUUGCACACACCGC
This 587-nucleotide ribosomal RNA is filed under the name uncultured Mycobacterium sp. RNAcentral's name for it is "bacterial SSU rRNA". It matches the Rfam family "Bacterial small subunit ribosomal RNA", at positions 808 to 1393 of the family's 1533-position model. The record is from RNAcentral. Lineage: Bacteria; Bacillati; Actinomycetota; Actinomycetes; Mycobacteriales; Mycobacteriaceae.